Non-coding RNA from Bos taurus (domestic cattle), 73 nucleotides. The record is from Rfam. NCBI's taxonomy places the organism in Eukaryota, Metazoa, Chordata, Mammalia, Artiodactyla, Bovidae.
UCCCUGGUGGUCCAGUGGUUAAGACUCUGCAUUUCCACUACAGUUGGCCUAGGUUUGAUCCCUGGUCAGGGAA